UGGUGAACCAGCGGAGGGAUCAUUACCGAGUUAUUACUCCAAACCCUUUGUGAACCUUACCAUUUUGUUGCUCGGCGUACCGCGGGCCGCGGCUUCGGCCCGUCCCGCAGCGCGCCAGAGGACCCAACUCUUCAAUUUAUAGCGUACCUUCUGAUUUACAAAACAAACAAGUUAAAACUUUCAACAACGGAUCUCUUGGUUCUGG
This 205-nucleotide unclassified non-coding RNA is filed under the name uncultured fungus. RNAcentral's name for it is "partial contains 18S rRNA, ITS1 and 5.8S rRNA". The record is from RNAcentral. Lineage: Eukaryota; Fungi.